This 506-nucleotide ribosomal RNA is filed under the name uncultured bacterium. RNAcentral describes it as "partial 16S ribosomal RNA". It matches the Rfam family "Bacterial small subunit ribosomal RNA", at positions 30 to 523 of the family's 1533-position model. The record is from RNAcentral.
AUUGAACGCUGGCGGCAGGCCUAACACAUGCAAGUCGAGCGGCAGCGGGAAGUAGCUUGCUACUUUGCCGGCGAGCGGCGGACGGGUGAGAAAUGUCUGGGAAACUGCCUGAUGGAGGGGGAUAACUACUGGAAACGGUAGCUAAUACCGCAUAACGUCGCAAGACCAAAGAGGGGGACCUUCGGGCCUCUUGCCAUCAGAUGUGCUCAGAUGGGAUUAGCUAGUAGGUGGGGUAAUGGCUCACCUAGGCGACGAUCCCUAGCUGGUCUGAGAGGAUGACCAGCCACACUGGAACUGAGACACGGUCCAGACUCCUACGGGAGGCAGCAGUGGGGAAUAUUGCACAAUGGGCGCAAGCCUGAUGCAGCCAUGCCGCGUGUGUGAAGAAGGCCUUCGGGUUGUAAAGCACUUUCAGCGAGGAGGAAGGCAUUAAGGUUAAUAACCUUAGUGAUUGACGUUACUCGCAGAAGAAGCACCGGCUAACUCCGUGCCAGCCGCCGCCGUAA